AUUUGCAGGCUGUAAAUUUCUUUAAAUGAUAGAUGUAAAGAUGGAAGACAGAUGGAUAGAGGAAAAGACAGAAUCAGAUACUGGAUGAGUUGGUAUUGCAGUCUGUGUUUCAGCGCUGUCUUAUUACUGCAAGGCUAGCAAGCAUCAAAGUCCCCCCACAGCUCCAACUCCCUCCCCCUGAAAUGUACCGAUUUAUAUGAAAAUUAAGAUUACAAAUUAAAGCCUGGCUAUCCUGGAGUUUUCCAGUUCAUCAGCCAUCCAAUAAAAAUGAUGUCAAGCCUGUAUGCAUAAUUCCCAGAAGAUUACUUUGUCCUUACAGCUAAGCCCUGUCCCUGAUAUGAAAGAUCUCUAUCCACUUUUAUUGAAAUAAAGAACUAACAUCAUAAUCCCAA
RNAcentral lists this long non-coding RNA (392 nucleotides) under Lynx pardinus (Iberian lynx). The record is from RNAcentral. Lineage: Eukaryota; Metazoa; Chordata; Mammalia; Carnivora; Felidae.